GACGAACGCUGGCGGCGUGCUUAACACAUGCAAGUCGAACGGAAAGGCCCUGCUUUUGUGGGGUGCUCGAGUGGCGAACGGGUGAGUAACACGUGAGUAACCUGCCCUUGACUUUGGGAUAACUUCAGGAAACUGGGGCUAAUACCGGAUAGGAGCUCCUGCUGCAUGGUGGGGGUUGGAAAGUUUCGGCGGUUGGGGAUGGACUCGCGGCUUAUCAGCUUGUUGGUGGGGUAGUGGCUUACCAAGGCUUUGACGGGUAGCCGGCCUGAGAGGGUGACCGGCCACAUUGGGACUGAGAUACGGCCCAGACUCCUACGGGAGGCAGCAGUUGGGAAUAAUGCACAAUGGGCGGAAGCCUGAUGCAGCAACGCCGCGUGCGGGAUGACGGCCUUCCGGUUGUAAACCGCUUUCGCCUUUGAAGAAGCGGGAGUGACGGUAAUGGGUAAAGAAGCACCGGCUAACUACGUG
Molecule: ribosomal RNA, 468 nt
Filed under: uncultured bacterium
Lineage: Bacteria
Description: partial 16S ribosomal RNA
Rfam family: Bacterial small subunit ribosomal RNA
Source: RNAcentral